GUCGAAGUGGCGAAACUGGCAGACGCGCAAGGUUCAGAGCCUUGUCCCGAUUUUCGGGGUGAGAGUUCAAAUCUCUCCUUCGACA
Molecule: transfer RNA, 85 nt
Filed under: Candidatus Liptonbacteria bacterium
Lineage: Bacteria; Candidatus Liptoniibacteriota
Description: tRNA-Leu
Rfam family: tRNA
About the family: Transfer RNA (tRNA) molecules are approximately 80 nucleotides in length. Their secondary structure includes four short double-helical elements and three loops (D, anti-codon, and T loops).
Source: RNAcentral